CUAAAAGAUGAGGGUGCGGAACAUUAGUUAGUUGGUGAGGUAAUGGCCCACCAAGACUAUGAUGUUUAGCCGGGUCGAGAGACUGAACGGCCACAUUGGGACUGAGAUACGGCCCAAACUCCUACGGGAGGCAGCAGUAGGGAAUAUUCCACAAUGAGCGAAAGCUUGAUGGAGCGACACAGCGUGCACGAUGAAGGUCUUCGGAUUGUAAAGUGCUGUUAUAAGGGAAGAACAUUUGCAAUAGGAAAUGAUUGCAGACUGACGGUACCAA
This 271-nucleotide ribosomal RNA is filed under the name Metamycoplasma hominis. Its description in RNAcentral is "Mycoplasma hominis partial 16S ribosomal RNA". It matches the Rfam family "Bacterial small subunit ribosomal RNA", at positions 218 to 481 of the family's 1533-position model. The record is from RNAcentral. Lineage: Bacteria; Bacillati; Mycoplasmatota; Mycoplasmoidales; Metamycoplasmataceae.